GACGAACGCUGGCGGCGUGCUUAACACAUGCAAGUCGAACGGAAAGGCCCUGCUUUUGUGGGGUGCUCGAGUGGCGAACGGGUGAGUAACACGUGAGUAACCUGCCCUUGACUUUGGGAUAACUUCAGGAAACUGGGGCUAAUACCGGAUAGGAGCUCCUGCUGCAUGGUGGGGGUUGGAAAGUUUCGGCGGUUGGGGAUGGACUCGCGGCUUAUCAGCUUGUUGGUGGGGUAGUGGCUUACCAAGGCUUUGACGGGUAGCCGGCCUGAGAGGGUGACCGGCCACAGUGGGACUGAGAUACGGCCCAGACUCCUACGGGAGGCAGCAGUGGGGAAUAUUGCACAAUGGGCGGAAGCCUGAUGCAGCAACGCCGCGUGCGGGAUGACGGCCUUCGGGUUGUAAACCGCUUUCGCCUGUGACGAAGAGUGAGUGACGGUAAUGGGUAAAGAAGCACCGGCUAACUACGUG
This 468-nucleotide ribosomal RNA is filed under the name uncultured bacterium. RNAcentral describes it as "partial 16S ribosomal RNA". It matches the Rfam family "Bacterial small subunit ribosomal RNA", at positions 28 to 507 of the family's 1533-position model. The record is from RNAcentral.